RNAcentral lists this ribosomal RNA (198 nucleotides) under uncultured Streptococcus sp. RNAcentral describes it as "partial 16S ribosomal RNA". It matches the Rfam family "Bacterial small subunit ribosomal RNA", at positions 1186 to 1382 of the family's 1533-position model. Lineage: Bacteria; Bacillati; Bacillota; Bacilli; Lactobacillales; Streptococcaceae. The record is from RNAcentral.
CAAAUACAUCAUGCCCCUUAUGACCUGGGCUACACACGUGCUACAAUGGUUGGUACAACGAGUUGCGAGUCGGUGACGGCGAGCUAAUCUCUUAAAGCCAAUCUCAGUUCGGAUUGUAGGCUGCAACUCGCCUACAUGAAGUCGGAAUCGCUAGUAAUCGCGGAUCAGCACGCCGCGGUGAAUACGUUCCCGGGCCUU